This 301-nucleotide ribosomal RNA is filed under the name uncultured bacterium. Its description in RNAcentral is "partial 16S ribosomal RNA". It matches the Rfam family "Bacterial small subunit ribosomal RNA", at positions 509 to 807 of the family's 1533-position model. The record is from RNAcentral.
CAGCCGCCGCGGUAAUACGUAGGGUGCGAGCGUUAAUCGGAAUUACUGGGCGUAAAGCGUGCGCAGGCGGUUCGUUAAGACAGAUGUGAAAUCCCCGGGCUCAACCUGGGAACUGCAUUUGUGACUGGCAAGCUAGAGUAUGGCAGAGGGGGGUGGAAUUCCGCGUGUAGCAGUGAAAUGCGUAGAUAUGCGGAGGAACACCGAUGGCGAAGGCAGCCCCCUGGGCCAAUACUGACGCUCAUGCACGAAAGCGUGGGGAGCAAACAGGAUUAGAUACCCGAGUAGUCCCUGUCUCUUAUAC